Patella vulgata (common limpet) is the source of this 3203-nucleotide long non-coding RNA. RefSeq lists it as uncharacterized. NCBI's taxonomy places the organism in Eukaryota, Metazoa, Mollusca, Gastropoda, Patellidae. The transcript is spliced from 3 exons. The record is from RefSeq and is a predicted model, not a curated record.
ACAACCAUAGUGGGCCGAGUAAACAAAGGCAGUAAACAAACGAGGGUUUUUGUUUAGAUGAAUGAGGCGUAUUUAACGACGGAUUAUUGGCAGAAAUAUCCAAAUGAGGAUUAGCAGAGAGGGUUAGACAGGGAUUAUGGUAAAUCUCCAACACAAAGCUCGCGUGUUAACAUCAAGCGAGGAUGUUCCAAGUUAAGAGUUAGACAGUCUUUAUUAAAAGAGGAACAUAGCCAUAUGGAAAGUUUUCAAUUUUUAGUUUAAAUUUGGCUUUUAGUGUUGAAUGACUCACUUCUAUGCGAUUCAAGUCUGAACUUUAAAGCUUACUUGAGUUCAAGAUUUAAAUAACUAGUAACAUUUAUGUUACGAAACAGUGGCAGUUUGAUUCGGAGUCAGUUCGUGACGAUGAAUAACAAACUUUUUAAAACUAUUAUCUUCAGGGGAAUUAAUCUCUUUUCAUAUUUGUAAUUGUGUUUGAAGCAAUCGAUUCAUGUUUAUAUUUAGCUGUGACUUAUCGCAGGUGUACUCUUCGGCGAUGUAAAUUUAAUUUGGAGUAAGAAAAUAAAGUAUACCAAAGUGCCUUAAAUAUCGUCCUGCUAAUCUGCUGCAAUGGAUAUUAAACAUUUAGUGUGUGUUGGAAUUAUAACCCAGAUGAGUUUUAUAAGUGUUGCAACUGGUCGACAGAUGUGUUAUUCCUGUGCCUACAACUUCAAUGCCUUAAAGAGUGGUUAUAACUGUGUAACCUACCCCAAAAAUUGGACCGUCGGCGACUGGAGAAUGCGAUGUCCUAAUAAAUGCACCGAGUCCAGUCAUUAUUCUAAAGAGACAGGUGAAGCGACAUAUUUUUAUCGCGGAUGUAGUGGUGGUGAUGAGGUGCCGGAAGAUGGUUGUACUGAAGAUGAUCUCAAAUUCUAUUGUUUCUAUUCCUGCUCAGGACACUAUUGUAAUGACGGCCCGGCCAUUGAUGAAGAAUUGUUUAAUGAGAUUAAACAAGAGGACGAAUCAGCAACUGGAAAUGUACCUAUUUAUUCGUUGAUGUUGACAGAUUUGGCUUUAUUGAUGGCAGUUUUGUACAAUCAUUAUGUAUUUGUUUGAAUUAGAUGCAUAGUUUGUGAAAAUAUUUGCUUUUAUAUUGCUAUAAAUUAGGCCUAUCGCUUACGGGAUCCUACAUUUCCAUGUAUUGCUCCGUUUUAAACACCGUGCUGGUUAUAAAAUUUAUUUAAGAAGUUAUCUGGUGUCGGGACCUCUGGACUAGAAUGGGCUUUAAUCCUUGCGUGGAUCGAGAAGUGAUACCUUUGAUCUCGUUGGGAUGGAACGCUGGUCGACCCAUGUAUUUACUAACGCGUGGGGAACAUGAAUCAUUGGCAGUUGAAUUAUUGUCAUAUUGUAACCGUAGAAAUAAAAAUUCUUAUAGAAGUUUUAACCUCUCUUAAAUUAGAAGUACAAAUCAAUAAUGUUUUUGUAUAAUACUGGCAAAUAAACAAAAUAGUUUGGGGCCAACUCUCUGCAGCUUAGUCUUAAAUUGUGUCCAAUAUUAUGCACUCUAAUAUGUGUUUUUAUAUUUAGCACGAUGCUUAUAUUCGGUAGCUUUACCGGAUAACUUAUCAAUUUCUGAUUCAUUCACGGUUAUGAGUUCAUGUCUUAUUGUAUUAAUUGUAUAAAUACGAUAUUGUGUAAAUACGAUGUCCCAAGUGUCACCCGAGGCGUGUAAGCUUCACACAAUUUAAGCACUAUGCUCGUGAUUUGUUUAUUUCUUGGUUUGUUCACUCUGACUUUCAUUAUUUACCCUGUCUGUGUUGUAUUCACUCUUAUUUAAAUUAAAGAUACAUUAGUUAAGACCUAAAUAUGUCAAUUGCAAGGCUUUCUAUAGACUUCAAUUAAUAUCAUAUAAAUUAUUAAUUAGACCUUUAUUUACAUAAUAAGCCUAAAAUCAACUCUGUAGACCCGCGGAUGGCUUGGAUACCGCUUGUGUUGAAACAGUCGUCCAUUUAAGAAUUAAAUCGUUUAAUGGUUGACCAAGCUAACAUUUACUGUUAAUCACUGACAUCACUACCGGAGACUGUCGAUGAAAGGACUGGCAAUCGAGCGUACCGUAGGCAUUGAGAAUGUUACGUGAUAAUCGAGACCUUGCGGAGACCGUUGAUGCCUGUUUCUAGUCCAAAUUUCCAACAGUGAUGAUUUCGUUCAGAAUAAAGUAAUUUGACUGUAAUUUUAAAUACUUUCUCUUUUUUAUCAUCUAUUUUGAACUGUUAUAUCAGGAAUGACCAACGCUUUUUUAAAAUCUUAACUAAUGUAAGUUCACUCUAGCUUUGAUUUUUAGCUAUAAUUUUGAUCUGUUGGCUCCAAUGUGGUCUGUUUUCACUAUAAUUUUGAUUUGCUAACAAUAGUUUAGAUCUGUUCACUCAAAUCUUAACUCAUUCACGUAUAUCUACUUAUUGAAAAUCUAUUCCAACUUAUUCUAAUUAAUAUAUCCAUAUUUAUCUAUUUAUCUUUAAAAUUUAAAAAAUAGAUAUGUUUUUCUUUUCAAUUUACAUAUAUACAAUAUAAUAAUGUUCAUGUUCACCGUAUCAUCUCAAUUAUUAUCUUACGUUUAUCUUAAUUUACUCUGAUAUAAAUAUUUUUAUUUUCAUUUCAAUCUAUUUUUUGCUUAUCUCAAAUUGUCAUUUUAAUCUUAAUCUUUUUUUCUUUACUUAAUCUAUUCACUCUAAUCUCAAUAUUUUACUUUGAUUUGUUCAUUGUUAUAUGUUUAAUCUACACAAUAAUAGCAUCACCCAUUUUGAUGAGAUUUAGAUGAUAUGUGUCCUCUGUUUAUGUUCUUUCUUUCAAAAAAACAAAACCAAUCGAUACUGGUAUUCAUUUAUCUAAUCGAUAUUAUGUACCGGUAUGUAAUCCCUAGUCACCUUAUGUUAUGUACUGGUAUUUAGAUAUGUAAUCGAUAGUCAAAUUGAUUUAUGUACUGGUAUUUAUAACGCAAUGUGUUUUGUUAUGUGUUCUGUACAACCCGACAAAGAAGGCUUAUUUUUUGUUGAAACUAGGAAUUCUGGAUAUGAUCAGUUAUUAAUUUAUUUACUUUGAUCUGAAUUUAUUUACAACGCUAAAAACAUAUUUUCAUAAAGUUUUUUUUUAUAAUAUAUUGAGAUAGAUAUCGUUUAUUUUUGAUAUUCUGAAUUUAUUGUGUCUAUGAAAUAAAUUCUAUAGUAACUAAA